RNAcentral lists this ribosomal RNA (253 nucleotides) under uncultured bacterium. RNAcentral describes it as "partial 16S ribosomal RNA". It matches the Rfam family "Bacterial small subunit ribosomal RNA", at positions 524 to 776 of the family's 1533-position model. The record is from RNAcentral.
UACGUAGGUGGCAAGCGUUGUCCGGAUUUACUGGGUGUAAAGGGUGCGUAGGCGGCUUUGCAAGUCAGAAGUGAAAUCCAUGGGCUUAACCCAUGAACUGCUUUUGAAACUGCAGAGCUUGAGUGGAGUAGAGGUAGGCGGAAUUCCCGGUGUAGCGGUGAAAUGCGUAGAGAUCGGGAGGAACACCAGUGGCGAAGGCGGCCUGCUGGGCUCUAACCGACGCUGAGGCACGAAAGCGUGGGUAGCAAACAGG